RNAcentral lists this transfer RNA (66 nucleotides) under Osmia excavata. RNAcentral's name for it is "tRNA-Gln". The record is from RNAcentral. Lineage: Eukaryota; Metazoa; Arthropoda; Insecta; Hymenoptera; Megachilidae.
UAUAUCUAAGUGUAAAUGCAUUUAAAAAUUUGAAUUUUAAGGUACUAAAAAAAUUAGUAGAUAUAU